CUGGAGGCUCUUCCCAGCCUUUAUGUACCAGGGGCUAAGAAACAGGCAGGUCAGAAUCUUACCGGUAGCUGAAGCUAGAAAAUGUAAAGCACUAAAGCUAUCAGAGGACCCACUUCUUUUUUUUUGUAAUAUAGUGAUGAACUUGAACUCCUGGCCUCAAGCAAUCCUUCCACCUUGGUCUCCCAAAGAGCUAUAAGCUAUAAGCUAUAAGCCACUGUACCCAGCAAAGGCCCCAUUUCAACAUGCAGAGCAAGUCAGUGUGCAAUGAAGGGAGAGAUACUUUACUUAUGGUAACACUGGUAAUGUCCUGAUUGCUGUUAAGUUCCCAAUUUCAGUAAUGCCUGAAGCCCUACUAUAUCCUUGUUCUUUGUGGCCAGAUUCUUUAACUUUCCCUUGGAUUGAAGUAGACUCCCCCAAAUCCUUCUUCUUGUUAAAGUAGCUUGAAUUGGAGUCACAGGAACAAUUGUCCAGAAGCCUGUAACAAUUAAUUCCCACUGGAGCAGGAGAUGAGGAUACCCUGCUGGCAAUGAGCAUUUUAUUUCUCUCGCUUUAAUAAUUUGUAAUGGUUUUAAUUUACAUUUAUUUAACUACCAGUGAGGUUAGAUUUUUUUCAUAUGCUUAUUAGCCAUUGGUAUUUCUCUUUUAUAUAUUGAUAUAGUUUGGAUAUUUGAUCCCACACAAAACUCAUGUUGAAUUGUAAUCCCUGGUGCUGGAGGUGGGGCCUCGUGGGAGGUGUUUGGGUCAUGGGGGCGGAUCCUUCAAUGACUUGGUCCUGUCUUUGUGAGAGUAAGUUCUUGUGAGACUGGGUCAUUUAAAAGUGUGUGUGGCACCUCCCCCAUCACUCUCUCUCUUGCUCCUGCUCUUCCAUGUGAGACACCUGCUCCCACUUUGCCUUCUGCCACGAUUGGAAGUUUCAUGAGGCCUCCCCAGAAGCUGAGAAGAUGCUGGUAUGCUUCCUGUACAGCCUGUAGAACAGUGAACCAAUUAAAUUUAUUUUCUUUAGAAAUUAUCCAGUCUCAGGCAUUUUUUAAUAGCAAUGCAAGAAUGGCCAAAUACAUGUAUGUUGGUAAUAUCAGCCUUACCAGUCUUGGCAGAAUGUCUGUCCCAAGAGGAAAAGUGGUCUCCACAGACAUUUGCUUAAAAUUCACCUACUCUAAGCUCUGUUCCCAAGAAUACUGGCCUUUCCAUGCUGAAAUGCUGGUGUACAUUCUGAGGCCUCAAGCAAAGCAUGAGAAGGAGUCACCAUUUCUCCUAGAACCAUCCUUCUGAGGACUCUCAGGACAAAUUGAGCAUGCAGUUGUGAACUCAGAUGCUGGAGAAGUUUCUCCAACUGAAGUUGGCUUAAGUUUGCUCUGGGUUGUGCUGCAGUGAGCUUUGGAGACAAGGUGUUUGAUGCUGCAAUUCAGUGAAUUAGCUUCCUCUGGGCCUUGAGAAUACCUGAUCCCACCCCCAUCUUCUGUCCUUGCUUCUCUUGAUUGAUACCAGUUGAAGAUUUGAACUUUGAUCUUGUUUGCCUGUCUCCUUUGUGAUGCAUAAUGACUUACAUAUGUUUAAGUAGAAUAUUUAUGAUAAAACCACCUGGUUUCUCUAAAGAAUACUAGGAGGAAUGACUCAUUUUUCCCCCUGAUUAGAGUGCAGAACAUUGCCUUUUUGGUUUUAGUUUUGUCUAGCAGUACUUCUGCUAUUGUGACAAAUGUUAUGGAGCACUGUGUACCAAAAUAGAUGUCGUAUCCAUCUCAAAUCACCGACACUAACAAUAGAAAGGAAAAGUAAUUAAAAAUAAAACCUCUCAAAAGAACACAUCCUCCAAGGAAAGGAAAAUGAGACGUAGCAUGUUAAUUCCACAAGCAGACGCAUCUAAAGCCUCUCUCGGGAUAGUGGAAAACACAGCAAACAUCUGGGAGAUUUCAACUGUGAAAGAAAAUUAUAAUCAUUGGUUACAAAGACUUUUCGUGCCCCUUGCUUGUAAACAGUCGAAUAAGUCCAUGGAAAAGUAUAUACAUAGGAGGAAUCAUGAAAUCUCAAACUAAAUAUCCCUAGUCAGGAUAAAAGAGUAAAUUUCGGGCAGAAAUUCAGGAAACUACUGGAAAAAAAAUCUGUUUCCAAAUCUGAACUUUAGAAUACAACUCAUAAAUCAGCCCCCAAUUACCUCACUGGCCUUGUGGCCUGCAAUCCUCCCACACUGGCCCCUCCUGGCUGCUUGAAUAUAUUAGGGCUUCUCACUCGCUGGUGCUACUGCCUAGUAUGCUCUGUGUAAGUGUGGCUUUCUCCCUCACUUCCUUCAGAUGUCAGCUAACAUAUCACUUCCUAGCUUUAGUCCUGAAGGGGUUUUCCUCAUUACACUUAUUAUUUCCUGACUAAUUACACAUGCGUGUAUGCUUGGUUGUUGCUUAUCUUCCCUUUCUAGAAUGUUAGCUCCUUGAGGGAAAGGACUUUGUUUUGUUCAGUGUUAACAUUCUGGAACUUGAGAUGGUGCUUGGCUCAUGGAAAAUACACACUGGUAUUUGUUGAAUGAAUAAAUGAAAAGUAUAAAAGAAUGGGAAAAACAGAAUGUGUGGUGAUGUGACGUCCCACCCAGAUCCCUCUGUAAGGAAGGAGGACUUGUUGCCCCACAGCCUUCAGCUGUCAGCCCUUUCAGAUCACCUCAGCUGCAGAGGUGAGCUGCCAAGGUUACAUCAUUUUGUGGGUGGGCCACACACAAUGACUGAUUGAGGCAAAGGUGUGAAGAAAAGGCCAUGUGGUUUUAACACAGGAAAAAUAUGAAGUUGAGCCACAUUAACUCCGAGAUGGCCAAGGCUGCUGGUCUGAAUCAUAGGUGGGUUCCUCCCUUGAUCGACCCCACAUUUCACCUCUCCUUCCACAGGUAUUGAUCCAAGUGACACUCCCUAGUAAACAUCUCAAAACCGAAGUUCGCUUUCUAGAAAACCCAAAAUGCAACAAGAUGAAAAAACAAGAAGUAUCUCUUCUUUACAAUUUACUGUCCUAUUUCAUAACACUAUGUCUUCAUCCAAAAAUAAAUUCCUUCAUUUGGCAGAUAUCUGUGGAGAAACUAUUAUGUUUCCGGCACUGUUCUGGGCACUGAUGUGAUGGAAAUUAAAACACCAACAAGUCUCAUGAGCUCUGUGAACUUUAUAUCCUAGUAGGGUAAAAAUAAUAAGGAAGCAAAUAAAAGAAAAUUUGUGAAAGUGUUAAGAGAUGUGAGGAAAAUAGGUAGUGAGCUGAGAAGGGUGGGAGUGAUCAACUGUUUUUAACUAGGUGUCACGAGAAGGGGCUUCUGAGGCAAAGACUUCAAAGUUGAGGUUAAACUCAGGGAUCCAGGCAUGCCUGUCUUGGGGAGGUGUGGUCCACAUUGGUUUAUCACCUGCCAACUACACGCAGGCACUGGAGGGGAUACUAGGGUUGCAAAAAUCAGCACAAAAUAGUCUGUUGCUCUAAGAAGGCUAUUUUCUAAUUCAUACUCAUAAAUAAUUGGAACAUCUUAACGUAAGGGAAUCUGGGUAUUUUAUUGCCCUCUUGGUUUGAGUAGUUAAAAAAUAUUAACUGACAACACCUUUAUUGAACAGUUAAUACCUGUCAAGCCUUCUUCUAAAUAAUUUUCACAUUCUAACAGAAACAGAAAAUAAGACAGGUAUUAUUAUUACUAUAUUAAUAUUUAACAGUUAAUAAAAUCAAUGCAGAGUAGGUAAUUUCCCAGAAACAUAGUUAGCAAUCAGGAGAAGCAGAAACUAAAACCCAAUAGUCUGAUGUCAGAUCUAGCAGUCUUAAUCCUUUGUAUUAUGUUGAAAUGUCUCCUUGCCAUGCUAUUAGAUGUUAUUUCUCCUAUUGAGUUUAGAAGGGUUAUAUGUUUUUUAAAAAUAGGUGAUCUCUUCAUUUUGCAACAAUAAUUAUUUCUAUAUUCCAAUAUUCAACUAUUUUGCAAUAUGGAAAGUAAUAUAUUUUUCAUUAAAAUGACUUAUAAUAUGAUGGUGUCAUUGUUUCUAUUAGUAAUCUCAGAAAACUUGAAAGCACCAUUAUCAGUUAUU
RNAcentral lists this long non-coding RNA (4022 nucleotides) under Homo sapiens (human). RNAcentral describes it as "HSALNT0112557". Lineage: Eukaryota; Metazoa; Chordata; Mammalia; Primates; Hominidae. The record is from RNAcentral.